GCUACAGGCUUAACACAUGGCAAGGUCGAGGGGCAGCAUGAGUCGAAGCUUGCUUGAUGAUGGCGACCGGCGCACGGGUGAGUAACGCGUAUCCAACCUUCCCUAUAGUAGAGGAUAGCCCGGCGAAAGUCGGAUUAAUACUCUAUGUUUUCCAAUGCAGACAUCUAAGUUGGAACAAAGGUUUACCGCUAUAGGAUGGGGAUGCGUCUGAUUAGGUUGUUGGCGGGGUAACGGCCCACCAAGCCUACGAUCAGUAGGGGUUCUGAGAGGAAGGUCCCCCACAUUGGAACUGAGACACGGUCCAAACUCCUACGGGAGGCAGCAGUGAGGAAUAUUGGUCAAUGGGCGAGAGCCUGAACCAGCCAAAGUAGCGUGCAGGAUGACGGCCCUAUGGGUUGUAAACUGCUUUUAUACGGGGAUAAAGUGAGGGACGUGUCCCUUUUUGUAGGUACCGUAUGAAUAAGGACCGGCUAAUUCCGUGCCAGCCGCUGC
Molecule: ribosomal RNA, 492 nt
Filed under: uncultured bacterium
Lineage: Bacteria
Description: bacterial SSU rRNA
Rfam family: Bacterial small subunit ribosomal RNA
Source: RNAcentral